RNAcentral lists this ribosomal RNA (406 nucleotides) under uncultured bacterium. RNAcentral's name for it is "partial 16S ribosomal RNA". It matches the Rfam family "Bacterial small subunit ribosomal RNA", at positions 30 to 526 of the family's 1533-position model. The record is from RNAcentral.
AUUGAACGCUGGCGGCAGGCCUAACACAUGCACGUCGAACGAGUGGCGGACGGGUGAGUAAUGUCUGGGAAACUGCCCGAUGGAGGGGGAUAACUACUGGAAACGGUAGCUAAUACCGCAUACCAUCGGAUGUGCCCAGAUGGGAUUUGCUAGUAGGUGGGGUAACGGCUCACCUAGGCGACGAUCCCUAGCUGUUCUGAGAGGAUGACCAGCCAAACUGGAACUGAGACACGGUCCAGACUCCUACGGGAGGCAGCAGUGGGGAAUAUUGCACAAGGGGCGCAAGCCUGAUGCAGCCAUGCCGCGUGUAUGAAGAAGGCCUUCGGGUUGUAAAGUACUUUCAGCGAGGAGGCGUUACUCGCAGAAGAAGCACCGGCUAACUCCGUGCCAGCAGCCGCGGGAAUUC